GUCUAACUUGCAAACAAACAUAAAAAUAGAUAAAUAAGGUAACACAUUAUAAGUUCUCAAUUAGUAAUCACGCAACAAAUUUGUAAUCUACCACUAUAAGUAGAAACAACCAAGAAGUCUCCUAUUUCAUCACUGUUAAAAAAACUUUAAGAGAACCAUUGACAUUGAAGUGGUGGCGAAACAACACCCUUCUAUCCGUCUGGUGGCGUUCGGCGUUCCGGCUUCUCCGUCAAGUGUGUGUGACCUGAAAAACGAAGGCAGGGCUUCCUCCCCCGUUUUACCUUCGGCGUGAGAAUUAGUUUAUAGACUUGGGAAAAAAAUGUGACUGGAAUUCAGAUGGCUAAGAAAAGAGAGAGAUCCUGUAUCACAUCCGGAAGUAUUUAUAGCUAUUGGGAGCUAGAUAACCGCUGGGCGGUCGUGGUGCCACGUGUCCCACGUUGACAUUCCUGCUAACCCCACGUUCUGAGUGGGAGCUCUCUAACUUCCCGCUUAGAGGUUGCGCCCGUAUUAACCACCAUGGAACUUAAUGAAUUCACUAGAGGUUUUAUGGCUAAGUGUUUGGAUAAUCGUAUAGGCAAUUCCAUACCAGUUGAAGACUUUGCGUGGAGGUAGAGCGACCUUGGGAGGGUUGACGGCCUCGCGUAGUGGUAGAGCGCCCCCUGGGGGUAGUGGUAGAGCGUCCCUGGGGGGUCGAUGGCCGUACAUGGUGGCAGAACACCAUUUGGGGAUAGUGGUAGAGCACUCCUUAAGGGUCGAUGGUCUUGCAUCGAAGUGCAGCGAUCCCUCUUGCUUAUCGCCGAGGGUGGCUUCCUCUACCAACCUAUAUCAUAAGCCCCUACCCCUUGUCAAUGUUUUCGACAAGGGGUAGCAAUUUUCUUUAUCUGGGUUGGUUUGAUUUUGUUUUUAAUUGAGUAGUUCGUAUUAACAAGUCGAGCAAUGCAAUCGAAAUCAAGUAGCAAUUUUACUGUACACAUGGCACCCCAUCAAUUAACAUCCUAGGCUUUCUCCAUUCUAAAGUAAUUUUUUCUCCUUUUUAAUCCAAAGUCUUGCUUUGAGUUUUUGCUCUCUUCAUCUUUUUUUGUUGCCAUGUAUAGGACUAUUCUUUCUUCUCCUUCCAAUGAGAAUAGUGAUGGGGGUGUAGUGACUCGAUCGGACCUUCAUCUGAGGGUACCGGAGGGGGUCCGACCGGCCCACGGGGUGGCCGACCAGUGAGUAGCGGGGCUAGUCCAUCGACCAGCCCCGUGGCUGGUUGAGCGUCUGCCAGCCUUCGGGCUGGCCAUCCCCCAGCUUCUCUUGAUCUUCGUGGCCCAUCCGGCCCCUCGACCCAACUCGCUAAUGAUUCGCCCCCUUCGUCCGGUAGAUCUCAUUAUGACAUUAAUAGUGAAACUCAUUCAUCGGUUCUCAGGCGUUUGUCCCAAAUUCCCCUAAGAGGCCCAAUAGUUCUACCAAGUUUCCAAACCAAAAUUUAGAAAUUGGGCGAGACCCGGCUGGUGAGGUUGUCCCUUUAGUAAUCCCAAAAAGUUAUAGUCUAUACAGUUCCCCCCCCUCCUUAAGUUGGAAAAAUGUCUACGUAAGUAUGACUGGGUUGAUGAUUACAUCUAUAGAGCCCCCAGUCCUAAAGAAAGACUCCCUGGUCCGACCCCCGCGAGGUAGCCGUGUACAAGGAUGCUAUGGAUGGGGGUUUUCGGUUCUCCAUUCAUCCCUUUUUUGUGUCAAUUUUUAAUGAGUUCCACCUUACUUCUAGUCAAAUAAAUCCCAACGCGUGGAGAAAGGCACUAUAUUUCCUAUUUGUUUGUCUCAGAAGGAAAAUAUCACUUUCCAUAGACCUUUUUAGGUGCGUCUUCGAAAUGCAUGAGCUGGUUCAGUGUAAUGCAUUCAUCUAUUUUACCACCAGAGUUGCAAUUUCCUAAAUUUAGAAAUUCGAAUAGCGGAUGGAAAUCCCAGUUCUUCUUCACUCAGCCUUCAGCAGGUCGGUUCUCUUUCAACACCAAUUGGUGACACCCCCAAAUUCCUCUCUUUAAUAGCCAAGUAGAAGUUACCCUCUUUCUAAAAGCUCAAAUCCAAGAGUUGGUUGAUGCACCGCCUCUCGCACCUGACUUAGGAUCAGUCUUAACCAUGAAGAACAUGUUGAUAGUGGGGAUGAGUCGUCCUACUAGUAGGUUGUUUCCGUCGAUUUUUUUUUUAUCGCAUGCACACACGCUCAUUUAUUAUUUUUUGCUUUUAGUUUUUCAGGACUAAUGAGUUUGGGUUUGUGCAUACCGAUAUGGACUUUGAUCUUGAUGAGGUAUUGAAGACCCUACCAGGAGGUGAUGAGGGCCCUGCUCCCGUUGAUGAGGCAGAGUUUGAUCUUGAAGGGAUUAUGGAUUCCAUGCCUGACCAGGGGUAGGGGGAUGGGACGGAUCCAUCACCUAUCCCUUCAAAGAGAAGUAAGGCGGCCGACCAAGGGGGAGGUCUCGAGCGAUCAACGAGACCUCCCAGCCUUCAGUCAAGCCUCGUGAGGUGGCUCCAGCUCCUAGGCCGGGUGCUUCCAGCCGUGCACGGUGUGAGCGCGAGGAUUCAUUUCCCAACUUUGGGUUUCCUCCCACCCGGGGCUAUCAUGAGAUGGGGGUGCUCAAGUCUUUGGUGACGCCCGCUCGAGCUAGAGCAAUUGCAGGGCGUAGUGCAGACGAUAUUGAAAGGGCUGCUGCUAUUUAUCUCCAGAGGGUGGUAGCCCUCCGGACUGACUCGCUGAAUCGAAUCGUCGCCUGGCCUCGAAGUUGAAGACUCUUACUGAAGAAAAGAAAAAGGAGGCUCAUCAUUACAAGAAAAAGAUAUCCUCCUUGAAGAAGUCUCUAGAGACGUUGGAUGCUCGAGCUCGUGAACAGGAGACGGAGAAUGACAACUUGCGUUUUGUUUUGGCUCGCGCUCUGGAAGAGGCGAUUGAGAGGUAUAAGGCUUCAGCUGAGUAUGCCAGAGAUCUCGAGGUAUCUGUGAAGGAGUAUAAGACAUCGUUUGAUUAUGCUAAGGCUUUGAAUUCAUAUGGGAGGAAGGCGAUGGCAGCGUCUAUCGAACUCUUCAAGGAGUGGAUUAUGGUCGAGAAUCCUUCUAUAGACCCAUCUGGUCUAGAUAGAUUUCUUGCGCAGCGCAAGGGGAAGGAGAGUGGAGCACAGUCAUCCAGCUCGCUUGGACGUUCAUCACGAGGUGGUAGUGGAGAUGUCUCCCCUUCGAGCUGAAGCAUUUCUUAGUUGUUGUUCCCUUUGCUAGCUUUUCCUUUUUUGUGUUUACUUUUGUUUAGUCUCAUUAUCUCCUACUUGUCCGGGGUGUGGGCAAGAAUUUCUCAUAUGUAUAAAU
Long non-coding RNA from Olea europaea var. sylvestris, 3330 nucleotides. RefSeq lists it as uncharacterized. The record is from RefSeq and is a predicted model, not a curated record. NCBI's taxonomy places the organism in Eukaryota, Viridiplantae, Streptophyta, Magnoliopsida, Lamiales, Oleaceae. The transcript is spliced from 3 exons.